AUGGCCACGAAUGAAGGUUUUCGCACAGAUUGGUGGAAACGCAGCGAUAAUCAACGCUCUUCAGAGCCGAAGCAUCUUCCGGCUCUUUCUUUUCCUGCCUUCUUUUGGGCACCGCGGUGGCCUUCAGAGUAUCAAAGAGGAGCAAAUCAUGCCCAGGCACGUACUGAGCUCUGCCCUCCCAAACGGGAGGUGCCAGGCUGCAAGAGAGGAGCCAGAGUGCCAGCUGGGCAGCUGCAUUUGGAAAUAUCAGUACCUGAGCAUCAGGUUCAGAUAAGAGGCAAUUUGCGAUUGUCACACAUUUUCUACCUUUUCCAUUUUAUUUUUUUGUGCAUGGU
This 335-nucleotide long non-coding RNA is filed under the name Anser brachyrhynchus (Pink-footed goose). RNAcentral describes it as "lncRNA (ENSABRG00000021849.1)". Lineage: Eukaryota; Metazoa; Chordata; Aves; Anseriformes; Anatidae. The record is from RNAcentral.